CCUACGGGAGGCAGCAGUGGGGAAUCUUGCGCAAUGGGCGAAAGCCUGACGCAGCAACGCCGCGUGCGGGAAGAAGGCUUUCGGGCUGUAAACCGCUUUCAGCAGGAACGAAAAUGACGGUACCUGCAGAAGAAGGAGCGGCCAACUAUGUGCCAGCAGCCGCGGUGAUACAUAGGCUUCAAGCGUUGUCCGGAUUUAUUGGGCGUAAAGAGUUCGUAGGCGGUCGAGUAAGUCGGGUGUGAAAAUUCUGGGCUCAACCCAGAGACGCCACCCGAUACUGCUUGACUUGAGUUCGAUAGGGGAGUGGGGAAUUCCUAGUGUAGCGGUGAAAUGCGCAGAUAUUAGGAGGAACACCGGUGGCGAAGGCGCCACUCUGGAUCGAUACUGACGCUGAGGAACGAAAGCAUGGGUAGCAAACAGGAUUAGAUACCCUGGUAGUCCAUGCCGUAAACGGUGGGCACUAGGUGUGGGUUUCUAUUAACGAAAUCCGCGCCGUCGCUAACGCAUUAAGUGCCCGCCUGGGGAGUACGGUCGCAAGACUAAAACUCAAAGGAAUUGACGGCNGAGACGNGCGACGACGACGACGAGGAGAGG
This 594-nucleotide ribosomal RNA is filed under the name uncultured bacterium. RNAcentral describes it as "bacterial SSU rRNA". It matches the Rfam family "Bacterial small subunit ribosomal RNA", at positions 338 to 961 of the family's 1533-position model. The record is from RNAcentral.